GUGGGAAAUACCCAUCUCUACGGAAUAACUCAGGGAAACUUGAGCUAAUACCGUAUACGUCCUUUUGGAGAAAGAUUUAUCGGAGAUGGAUGAGCCCGCGUCGGAUUAGCUAGUUGGUGGGGUAAAGGCCUACCAAGGCGACGAUCCGUAGCUGGUCUGAGAGGAUGAUCAGCCACACUGGGACUGAGACACGGCCCAGACUCCUACGGGAGGCAGCAGUGGGGAAUAUUGGACAAUGGGCGCAAGCCUGAUCCAGCCAUGCCGCGUGAGUGAUGAAGGCCCUAGGGUUGUAAAGCUCUUUCACCGGUGAAGAUAAUGACGGUAACCGGAGAAGAAGCCCCGGCUAACUUCGUGCCAGCAGCCGCGGUAAUACGAAGGGGGCUAGCGUUGUUCGGAUUUACUGGGCGUAAAGCGCACGUAGGCGGACUUUUAAGUCAGGGG
Molecule: ribosomal RNA, 441 nt
Filed under: Phyllobacterium myrsinacearum
Lineage: Bacteria; Pseudomonadati; Pseudomonadota; Alphaproteobacteria; Hyphomicrobiales; Phyllobacteriaceae
Description: bacterial SSU rRNA
Rfam family: Bacterial small subunit ribosomal RNA
Source: RNAcentral